CCCUUAGAUGUUCGGGGCCGCACGCGCGCUACACUGAAGGAAUCAGCACGUCUUUCUCCUUGUCCGAAAGGACUGGGUAACCCGCUGAACCUCCUUCGUGCUAGGGAUUGGGGCUUGUAAUUCUUCCCCAUGAACGAGGAAUUCCCAGUAAGCGCGAGUCAUAAGCUCGCGUUGAUUACGUCCCUGCCCUUUGUACACACCGCCCGUCGCUACUACCGAUUGGAUGGUUUAGUGAGAUCCUCGGAUUGGUCCCGGAGCGGCCUCUGGUCGUGCCGGAGUGCCGAAAAGAAUGUCGAACUUGAUCAUCUAGAGGAGGUAAAAGUCGUAACA
RNAcentral lists this ribosomal RNA (330 nucleotides) under uncultured eukaryote. Its description in RNAcentral is "partial 18S ribosomal RNA". It matches the Rfam family "Eukaryotic small subunit ribosomal RNA", at positions 1470 to 1796 of the family's 1831-position model. The record is from RNAcentral.